CAGUCGCCGCGGGAACACAGAGGGUGCGAGCGUUAAUCGGAUUUACUGGGCGUAAAGCGUGCGUAGGCGGCUUCUUAAGUCGGAUGUGAAAUCCCUGAGCUUAACUUAGGAAUUGCAUUCGAUACUGGGAAGCUAGAGUAUGGGAGAGGAUGGUAGAAUUCCAGGUGUAGCGGUGAAAUGCGUAGAGAUCUGGAGGAAUACCGAUGGCGAAGGCAGCCAUCUGGCCUAAUACUGACGCUGAGGUACGAAAGCAUGGGGAGCAAACAGGAUUAGAUACCCCGGUAGUCCCUGUCUCUUAUAA
RNAcentral lists this ribosomal RNA (301 nucleotides) under uncultured bacterium. RNAcentral's name for it is "partial 16S ribosomal RNA". It matches the Rfam family "Bacterial small subunit ribosomal RNA", at positions 509 to 809 of the family's 1533-position model. The record is from RNAcentral.